CAGCCCUUGACAUGGUCGGACAGUUACCAGAGAUGGUUUCCUUCACUUCGGUGACUGACACACAGGUGCUGCAUGGCUGUCGUCAGCUCGUGUCGUGAGAUGUUGGGUUAAGUCCCGCAACGAGCGCAACCCUCGCCCUUAGUUGCCAUCAUUCAGUUGGGCACUCUAAGGGGACUGCCGGUGAUAAGCCGGAGGAAGGUGGGGAUGACGUCAAGUCUUCAUGGCCCUUACGGGCUGGGCUACACACGUGCUGCAAUGGUGGUGACAGAGGGUUGCUAGGCCGCGAGGUCAUGCUAAUCCCAAAAAGCCAUCUCAGUUCGGAUUGCACUCUGCAACUCGGGUGCAUGAAGUCGGAAUCGCUAGUAAUCGCAGAUCAGCACGCUGCGGUGAAUACGUUCCC
RNAcentral lists this ribosomal RNA (400 nucleotides) under uncultured bacterium. RNAcentral's name for it is "bacterial SSU rRNA". It matches the Rfam family "Bacterial small subunit ribosomal RNA", at positions 975 to 1375 of the family's 1533-position model. The record is from RNAcentral.